GAGUUUGAUCUUGGCUCAGAUUGAACGCUGGCGGCAUGCCUUACACAUGCAAGUCGAACGGCAGCACGGGAGCUUGCUCCUGGUGGCGAGUGGCGAACGGGCGAGUAAUGCAUCGGAACGUAUCCUGGAGUGGGGGAUAACGUAGCGAAAGUUACGCUAAUACCGCAUAUUCUGUGAGCAGGAAAGCGGGGGACCUUCGGGCCUCGCGCUCUUGGAGCGGCCGAUGUCGGAUUAGCUAGUUGGUGAGGUAAAGGCUCACCAAGGCGACGAUCCGUAGCAGGUCUGAGAGGAUGAUCUGCCACACUGGAACUGAGACACGGUCCAGACUCCUACGGGAGGCAGCAGUGGGGAAUUUUGGACAAUGGGGGCAACCCUGAUCCAGCCAUGCCGCGUGAGUGAAGAAGGCCUUCGG
RNAcentral lists this ribosomal RNA (412 nucleotides) under bacterium enrichment culture clone ALO1_GLFRUDD03F8QP4. RNAcentral's name for it is "bacterial SSU rRNA". It matches the Rfam family "Bacterial small subunit ribosomal RNA", at positions 9 to 421 of the family's 1533-position model. The record is from RNAcentral.